Molecule: unclassified non-coding RNA, 1051 nt
Filed under: Hevea brasiliensis (rubber tree)
Lineage: Eukaryota; Viridiplantae; Streptophyta; Magnoliopsida; Malpighiales; Euphorbiaceae
Source: RNAcentral
CGCCAUUGCUUUUCAGGAGAGAAUCAGAAUCCCUGAUGAUAAAAUGGUGUACUAUGAGAACCUAGCUGAAAUGUAUGUCGGUGAUGAUGUAUCUCCAGACUUUUAUGGAUGGGUGUUCCCCAAAUGUGACCAUGUUGCUGUUGGAACUGGCACAGUCACUCACAAAGGAGACAUCAAGAAGUUCCAAUUAGCUACAAGAAAUAGAGCCAAAGACAAGAUCCUUGGGGGCAAGAUUAUUCGAGUAGAGGCACACCCAAUACCAGAACACCCGAGGCCACGCAGGUUAUCAGACAGAGUAGCACUAGUAGGGGAUGCGGCAGGGUAUGUGACGAAAUGUUCAGGCGAGGGCAUCUACUUUGCGGCGAAGAGUGGGAGAAUGUGCGCGGAGGCAAUCGUUGAGGGGUCAGGGAAUGGGAAGAGGAUGGUGGAUGAGAGUGACCUGAGGAAGUACUUGGAGAAAUGGGACAAAACGUAUUGGCCAACAUACAAGGUGCUGGAUGUGUUGCAGAAAGUAUUCUACAGAUCGAACCCAGCAAGAGAGGCAUUCGUGGAGAUGUGUGCAGAUGAGUAUGUGCAGAAAAUGACUUUCGAUAGCUAUUUGUACAAGAAGGUGGUACCCGGGAAUCCUUUGGACGAUUUGAAGUUGGCUUUCAAUACCAUUGGGAGCUUGGUGAGGGCUAAUGCUCUUAGAAAGGAGAUGAACAAGCUUAGCGUAUGAGCUACCUAUGCUAAGAUUUAUGUGUCUUUGUUCAUUUAUGUAUUAAUUAAAUCUUAGCUAGCAUAUAUGCUAAGAUUUAAAAAUUUAGCUACGAUAUUUAUGUGUCUUUUGUUCUUGCUGUUAAAAAUAUGAUAGCUAAAGAGGAAAUGGGAUGUUCAGAUUGUUCAUGUCUACAGAGAAGCAAGUGUUGUUGCAGACUGGCUUGCCAACAGUGCUUUUUCUUUUGAUCUUGGCCCUCACAUACUGGUUUCUCCAGCUGGGUCGACUGCUUUUUCAAGAUGCCUCUGGUUUUGCUCAGUGCAGAGACGUGCUGAUGCUUCCUUGGUUUGAGUU